Parambassis ranga (Indian glassy fish) is the source of this 82-nucleotide small nucleolar RNA. Ensembl annotates it as small nucleolar RNA MBII-202. NCBI's taxonomy places the organism in Eukaryota, Metazoa, Chordata, Actinopteri, Ambassidae. The record is from Ensembl.
UGAUGACAAAUCUCCGGAAUCUCUGUACUUCUUUGAUGAAAUCUUUGAACCCUUUUUCUGAUGACUGCUCUUUAAAAUCAAU